Molecule: ribosomal RNA, 1953 nt
Filed under: Rhinostomus barbirostris (bearded weevil)
Lineage: Eukaryota; Metazoa; Arthropoda; Insecta; Coleoptera; Curculionidae
Description: SSU rRNA
Rfam family: Eukaryotic small subunit ribosomal RNA
Source: RNAcentral
UUGUCUCAAAGAUUAAGCCAUGCAUGUCUCAGUACAAGCCAAAUUAAGGUGAAACCGCGAAAGGCUCAUUAAAUCAGUUAUGGUUCCUUAGAUCGUACACACAAUUACUUGGAUAACUGUGGUAAUUCUAGAGCUAAUACAUGCAAACAGAGCUCCGACCGGAAACGGAAGGAGUGCUUUUAUUAGAUCAAAACCAAACGGUGGCGGGUUCGCGCUCGUCAUCGUACAACUUGGUGACUCUGAAUAACUUUAAGCUGAUCGCACGGUCUAGCACCGGCGACGCAUCUUUCAAAUGUCUGCCUUAUCAACUGUCGAUGGUAGGUUCUGCGCCUACCAUGGUUGUAACGGGUAACGGGGAAUCAGGGUUCGAUUCCGGAGAGGGAGCCUGAGAAACGGCUACCACAUCCAAGGAAGGCAGCAGGCGCGCAAAUUACCCACUCCCGGCACGGGGAGGUAGUGACGAAAAAUAACGAUACGGGACUCAUCCGAGGCCCCGUAAUCGGAAUGAGUACACUCUAAACCCUUUAACGAGGAUCAAUUGGAGGGCAAGUCUGGUGCCAGCAGCCGCGGUAAUUCCAGCUCCAAUAGCGUAUAUUAAAGUUGUUGCGGUUAAAAAGCUCGUAGUCGAAUUUGUGUCUCGCGCCGCCGGUUCAUCGUCCGCGGUGUUAACUGGCGAGUGGCGAGACUUCCUGCCGGUGGGUUUUCGGCUUUGGUUAUAUUAUAUAAUUCGGCUCGAAAGGGUCGUGUUUUAUUUUAUUCUCUACAAUUAAGUCGACCCAACUCUCAAUCCUGCCGCGGUGCUCUUCAUUGAGUGUCGAGGUGGGCCGGCACGUUUACUUUGAACAAAUUAGAGUGCUUAAAGCAGGCUAAAAUUUCGCUUGAAUAUUGUGUGCAUGGAAUAAUGGAAUAGGACCUCGGUUCUAUUUUGUUGGUUUUCGGAACUCCGAGGUAAUGAUUAAUAGGAACGGAUGGGGGCAUUCGUAUUGCGACGUUAGAGGUGAAAUUCUUGGAUCGUCGCAAGACGAACAGAAGCGAAAGCAUUUGCCAAAAACGCUUUCAUUGAUCAAGAACGAAAGUUAAAGGUUCGAAGGCGAUCAGAUACCGCCCUAGUUUUAACUGUAAACGAUGUUUGCUGGCAAUCCGUCGACGUUCCUCCGAUGACUCGACGGGCAGCUUCCGGGAAACCAAAGCUUUUGAGUUCCGGGGGAAGUAUGGUUGCAAAGCUGAAACUUAAAGGAAUUGACGGAAGGGCACCACCAGGAGUGGAGCCUGCGGCUUAAUUUGACUCAACACGGGAAACCUCACCAGGCCCGGACACCGGAAGGAUUGACAGAUUGAGAGCUCUUUCUUGAUUCGGUGGGUGGUGGUGCAUGGCCGUUCUUAGUUGGUGGAGCGAUUUGUCUGGUUAAUUCCGAUAACGAACGAGACUCUAGCCUGCUAACUAGGCGAUUUUUGACAUCGCAAAGGCCCGCCGGUGUAUUAGUUUUCGGGGNCGUUCGUCGUCGUCGUCGUCAAUACGCGCGAUGGUGGCGAUACGAUUUCGUGCUUUAUACCGCGCGCGGUUUUUACUGUCGGCGUACAAACAAUUCUUCUUAGAGGGACAGGCGGCAUUUAGCCGCACGAGAUUGAGUAAUAACAGGUCUGUGAUGCCCUUAGAUGUUCUGGGCCGCACGCGCGCUACACUGAAGGAAUCAGCGUGUCCUCCCUGGCCGAGCGGUCCGGGUAACCCGCUGAACCUCCUUCGUGCUAGGGAUUGGGGCUUGCAAUUGUUCCCCAUGAACGAGGAAUUCCCAGUAAGCGCGAGUCAUAAGCUCGCGUUGAUUACGUCCCUGCCCUUUGUACACACCGCCCGUCGCUACUACCGAUUGAAUGAUUUAGUGAGGUCUUCGGAUCGACACGCGAUGGCGUUUCGACGUCGUCGAUGUGUAGAAAGAUGACCAAACUUGAUCAUUU